RNAcentral lists this ribosomal RNA (862 nucleotides) under Pseudomonas aeruginosa. RNAcentral describes it as "bacterial SSU rRNA". It matches the Rfam family "Bacterial small subunit ribosomal RNA", at positions 55 to 912 of the family's 1533-position model. The record is from RNAcentral. Lineage: Bacteria; Pseudomonadati; Pseudomonadota; Gammaproteobacteria; Pseudomonadales; Pseudomonadaceae.
AUGCAGUCGAGCGGCAGCGGGUCCUUCGGGAUGCCGGCGAGCGGCGGACGGGUGAGUAAUGCCUAGGAAUCUGCCUGGUAGUGGGGGAUAACUCGGGGAAACUCGAGCUAAUACCGCAUACGUCCUACGGGAGAAAGUGGGGGAUCUUCGGACCUCACGCUAUCAGAUGAGCCUAGGUCGGAUUAGCUAGUUGGUGAGGUAAAGGCUCACCAAGGCGACGAUCCGUAACUGGUCUGAGAGGAUGAUCAGUCACACUGGAACUGAGACACGGUCCAGACUCCUACGGGAGGCAGCAGUGGGGAAUAUUGGACAAUGGGCGAAAGCCUGAUCCAGCCAUGCCGCGUGUGUGAAGAAGGUCUUCGGAUUGUAAAGCACUUUAAGUUGGGAGGAAGGGCAGUAAGUUAAUACCUUGCUGUUUUGACGUUACCAACAGAAUAAGCACCGGCUAACUUCGUGCCAGCAGCCGCGGUAAUACGAAGGGUGCAAGCGUUAAUCGGAAUUACUGGGCGUAAAGCGCGCGUAGGUGGUUCAGCAAGUUGGAGGUGAAAUCCCCGGGCUCAACCUGGGAACUGCCUCCAAAACUACUGGGCUAGAGUAUGGUAGAGGGUGGUGGAAUUUCCUGUGUAGCGGUGAAAUGCGUAGAUAUAGGAAGGAACACCAGUGGCGAAGGCGACCACCUGGACUAAUACUGACACUGAGGUGCGAAAGCGUGGGGAGCAAACAGGAUUAGAUACCCUGGUAGUCCACGCCGUAAACGAUGUCUACUAGCCGUUGGGAUCCUUGAGAUCUUAGUGGCGCAGCUAACGCGAUAAGUCGACCGCCUGGGGAGUACGGCCCGCAAGGUUAAAACUCAAAUGAAUUG